This 197-nucleotide non-coding RNA is filed under the name Parabacteroides distasonis. The record is from RNAcentral. Lineage: Bacteria; Pseudomonadati; Bacteroidota; Bacteroidia; Bacteroidales; Tannerellaceae. RNAcentral also lists the same sequence under 1 other name.
AUCUUUGCCUCCGAUUUUAGUAAUCAAGCUAUCACAUAGUUUGGUGAGAGGGAAUCCGGUGUGAAUCCGGAGCUGUUCCUGCAGCUGUAAUCCUCAUGAAGUUGGUUAGAAGUUCAAAAGCCACUGUUCCUAAGUCGGAAUGGGAAGGUUUCUAACCAGAGGAGAGCCAGAAUACCUGCUAAAGUCUUACAAUAACA